This 473-nucleotide ribosomal RNA is filed under the name uncultured Magnetococcus sp. RNAcentral's name for it is "bacterial SSU rRNA". It matches the Rfam family "Bacterial small subunit ribosomal RNA", at positions 79 to 587 of the family's 1533-position model. Lineage: Bacteria; Pseudomonadati; Pseudomonadota; Magnetococcia; Magnetococcales; Magnetococcaceae. The record is from RNAcentral.
UUCGGGAUGCCGACGAGUGGCAAACGGGUGAGUAACGCGUGGAUACCUGCCCUGUGGUGGGGAAUAACGUCUAGAAAUGGACGCUAAUACCGCAUAAGCUCUGCGGAGGAAAGAUUUAUCGCCAUGGGAGGGGUCCGCGUCGGAUUAGCUAGUUGGUGGGGUAACGGCCUACCAAGGCGACGAUCCGUAGCUGGUCUGAGAGGAUGAUCAGCCACACUGGGACUGAGACACGGCCCAGACUCCUACGGGAGGCAGCAGUGGGGAAUAUUGCGCAAUGGGGGAAACCCUGACGCAGCGACGCCGCGUGGGUGAAGAAGGCCUUAGGGUUGUAAAGCCCUUUCAGUGGGAAAGAUGAUGACGGUACCCACAGAAGAAGCUCCGGCUAACUCCGUGCCAGCAGUCGCGGUAAUACGGAGGGGGCCAGCGUUGUUCGGAAUUACUGGGCGUAAAGGGCGCGUAGGCGGUUGAUCAAG